CGAACCUGGGACCUUCCGGUUACAAACGGUAGGCUCUACCGCUGCCAGGUCCGCCCUUCUUGUUUGGGGGCACGAAUGGCAGUAUAAUUUCUUGGUGAUUGGGGGCACAAUGCUCGGGUGUACGAUGUUCAUAUGUAUGUACCAUAGAAUUCAGGAUCCUCAUAUUUCAAUAUUUAUUUAAUGGAUUGUUGUUUACUACACCUUAACCUACCUGUGGGCAGAGAUGAUGUUGAAGCUUGGUAUUAUAUUGACAUGACAUUGUCUCUGUCAGUUCAACUAAAGAUUCAAACUGAACUUAAGCUUUGAAGUGAUCUGUUCACAGUGGUCACUCUAAGCUCUGACUCUUUUAGAUCUAUAGCACUGAGCCACUGAGCUGUCAUGGACCUGAUUUUUACAGUUACCAGUUGUACUAGUGUAAUAGCUUGUCCAGUCAGUUUCUUUUGAAACAGCGCUACAUUUCGGUGAGGGAUGUGGACUGUAAAAUGGUAUCAUCAUUAAGAAUGCUGGUUGCAGUGGGUGCUUGUCAUCAGACCAUGGGCAACUGCUGGACUGGUAUUGUGUUUUGGUAGCACAGUUCCUGAAUCCUGUUGUGUCAUAUUUACUUGUUUGUUUGACAUAAGCCUACAGAGAAAAUGAUGGAAUUUUAUCUAACUCAUUAUUUGUAUUAAAUAGCUUAUUUGUUUGAUUGGAGAAUGCACAGAAGAGCAUGUUCAACCCACCAUGUACUUGCAUGUUCAAUGUGGGCAUCAGGGGAAUGACGAGUAGAGGAUAGAUUUCUCCUUCCUUCAACUACCGUGAAGGGAUCGUUUAUCUCCUGACAUUUUCUUCUCAGUUCCUCCCAUCUGCUGCACUGACUUCUGCUUGAGAUUUUUCUGAACUGGAUUUUAAUUGUUUCCUUACCUUGCUGGUAAGGAAACCCUAGUUUGCUUGAGUGGAUUGCUCCAAUGAGAUUGAGUUUUUAUUUGCUGUGACUUGAGCAACUAUUAGUGGACUCCAUUGAUGGGAUUGAUAAGCCAAUCAAAUCCUUUCGGGUUUUUUCCAUGUUUGUUUGGGGGGGGGGGGGGGGGGGGGGAGCACGAAUAAAAAAAAGGGUGUGUACCUAGUGUUGUAGGCUUCCCGCACUUUGCGGGGUUUUGUGGGUCUGGGGAAGGGUAUCUUUAAGCGCCAAGCUUACCCACAACAUAAUACGAAGAGGUUGUGGCUCGAACCUGGGACCUUCCGGUUACAAACGGUAGGCUCUACCGCUGCCAGGUCCCCCCUUCUUGUUUGGGGGGCACGAAUGGCAGUAUAAUUUCUUGGUGAUUGGGGGCACAAUGCCCGGGUGUACGAUGUUCAUAUGUAUGUACCAUAGAAUUCAGGAUCUUCAUAUUUCAAUAUUUAUUUAAUGGAUUGUUGUUUACUACACCUUAACCUACCUGUGGGCAGAGAUGAUGUUGAAGCUUGGUAUUAUAUUGACAUGACAUUGUCUCUGUCAGUUCAACUAAAGAUUCAAACUGAACUUAAGAUCUGAAGUGAUCUGUUCACAGUGGUCACUCUAAGCUCUGACUCUUUUAGAUCUAUAGCACUGAGCCACUGAGCUGUCAUGGACCUGAUUUCUACAGUUACCAGUUGUACUAGUGUAAUAGCUUGUCCAGUCAGUUUCUUCUGAAACAGCGCUACAUUUUGGUGAGGGAUGUGGACUGUAAAAUGGUAUCAUCAUUAAGAAUGCUGGUUGCAGUGGGUGCUUGUCAUCAGACCAUGGGCAACUGCUGGACUGGUAUCGUGUUUUGGUAGCACAGUUCCUGAAUCCUGUUGUGUCAUAUUUACUUGUUUGAUUGACAUAAGCCUACAGAGAAAAUGAUGGAAUUUUAUCUAACUCAUUAUUUGUAUUAAAUAGCUUAUUUGUUUGAUUGGAG
Molecule: long non-coding RNA, 1895 nt
Filed under: Zea mays
Lineage: Eukaryota; Viridiplantae; Streptophyta; Magnoliopsida; Poales; Poaceae
Description: long non-coding RNA (ZMAY_LNC001945)
Source: RNAcentral